RNAcentral lists this ribosomal RNA (497 nucleotides) under uncultured bacterium. Its description in RNAcentral is "partial 16S ribosomal RNA". It matches the Rfam family "Bacterial small subunit ribosomal RNA", at positions 28 to 507 of the family's 1533-position model. The record is from RNAcentral.
GAUGAACGCUGGCGGCGUGCCUAAUACAUGCAAGUCGAGCGAACAGAUGAGGAGCUUGCUCCUCUGACGUUAGCGGCGGACGGGUGAGUAACACGUGGAUAACCUACCUAUAAGACUGGGAUAACUUCGGGAAACCGGAGCUAAUACCGGAUAAUAUAUUGAACCGCAUGGUUCAAUAGUGAAAGACGGUUUUGCUGUCACUUAUAGAUGGAUCCGCGCCGCAUUAGCUAGUUGGUAAGGUAACGGCUUACCAAGGCAACGAUGCGUAGCCGACCUGAGAGGGUGAUCGGCCACACUGGAACUGAGACACGGUCCAGACUCCUACGGGAGGCAGCAGUAGGGAAUCUUCCGCAAUGGGCGAAAGCCUGACGGAGCAACGCCGCGUGAGUGAUGAAGGUCUUCGGAUCGUAAAACUCUGUUAUUAGGGAAGAACAAAUGUGUAAGUAACUAUGCACGUCUUGACGGUACCUAAUCAGAAAGCCACGGGUAACUACGUG